This 163-nucleotide small RNA is filed under the name human gut metagenome. Its description in RNAcentral is "M-box riboswitch (ykoK leader)". It matches the Rfam family "M-box riboswitch aptamer (ykoK leader)". From Rfam's summary of the family: M-box riboswitch, also know as ykoK leader is described as a metaloregulatory RNA that sense divalent metals and function as a genetic control element of genes related to divalent metal transport in bacteria. It was first reported upstream of the B.subtilis ykoK gene and genes with related functions in other bacteria. The record is from RNAcentral.
UACUUUCGGUAGGUGAGGCUACCACAGAGAUAGGAAUUUCCUAAGAUUGCUGCCGCGAAUUUGUGGAGACACAAAGAGAUGGUUAGCAGGCUAUGUCGUCCAAAAAGGCAUAACCUAAUGCAAUUUAUAUAUGCUCUGUGAAGCUAAAGCUUGAACGACUGGA